RNAcentral lists this ribosomal RNA (260 nucleotides) under uncultured archaeon. RNAcentral's name for it is "partial 16S ribosomal RNA". It matches the Rfam family "Archaeal small subunit ribosomal RNA", at positions 718 to 982 of the family's 1478-position model. The record is from RNAcentral.
GUCUACAUUAGAUACCCCUGUAGUCCCAGCCGUAAACUAUGCUCGCUAGGUGUCAGGCAUGGCGCGACCGUGUCUGGUGCCGCAGGGAAGCCGUGAAGCGAGCCACCUGGGAAGUACGGCCGCAAGGCUGAAACUUAAAGGAAUUGGCGGGGAGCACCACAACGGGUGGAGCCUGCGGUUUAAUUGGACUCAACGCCGGGAAGCUCACCGGAUAAGACAGCGGAAUGAUUGCCGGGCUGAAGACUCUGCAUGACUAGCUG